This 580-nucleotide ribosomal RNA is filed under the name Colletotrichum sp. BAB-4679. Its description in RNAcentral is "eukaryotic LSU rRNA". The stretch from base 206 to 359 matches the Rfam family "5.8S ribosomal RNA". Lineage: Eukaryota; Fungi; Ascomycota; Sordariomycetes; Glomerellales; Glomerellaceae. The record is from RNAcentral.
UUCCGUAGGUGAACCUGCGGAGGGAUCAUUACUGAGUUUACGCUCUACAACCCUUUGUGAACAUACCUAUAACUGUUGCUUCGGCGGGUAGGGUCUCCGUGACCCUCCCGGCCUCCCGCCCCCCCGGGCGGGUCGGCGCCCGCCGGAGGAUAACCAAACUCUGAUUUAACGACGUUUCUUCUGAGUGGUACAAGCAAAUAAUCAAAACUUUUAACAACGGAUCUCUUGGUUCUGGCAUCGAUGAAGAACGCAGCGAAAUGCGAUAAGUAAUGUGAAUUGCAGAAUUCAGUGAAUCAUCGAAUCUUUGAACGCACAUUGCGCCCGCCAGCAUUCUGGCGGGCAUGCCUGUUCGAGCGUCAUUUCAACCCUCAAGCUCUGCUUGGUGUUGGGGCCCUACAGCCGAUGUAGGCCCUCAAAGGUAGUGGCGGACCCUCCCGGAGCCUCCUUUGCGUAGUAACUUUACGUCUCGCACUGGGAUCCGGAGGGACUCUUGCCGUAAAACCCCCCAAUUUUCCAAAGGUUGACCUCGGAUCAGGUAGGAAUACCCGCUGAACAUUAAGCAUAUCAAUAAGCGGAGGAA